This is a non-coding RNA of Schistosoma mattheei, 45 nucleotides long. NCBI's taxonomy places the organism in Eukaryota, Metazoa, Platyhelminthes, Trematoda, Strigeidida, Schistosomatidae. The record is from Rfam.
AUCCAGAUGAUGAAUCUCAAAUAGGACGAAACUCACGUCGUGGAU